Molecule: long non-coding RNA, 10682 nt
Filed under: Jatropha curcas
Lineage: Eukaryota; Viridiplantae; Streptophyta; Magnoliopsida; Malpighiales; Euphorbiaceae
Description: long non-coding RNA (JCUR_LNC001028)
Source: RNAcentral
GAACCAAUCCUUAUCAACACAAGAUGAUUAAACACCUUAAUCUCCUCGCAUUCGUCGAAUAUGCCAUCAUCGCCAUUGUUUUUACAGCCAUAACUGUUAGCUCUGAUGAUGCAGUACCAAUACCAGAGGCUGAAGCUGAAGUAAACGCUUGGUUUGAAGCUAAUGUCAAGCCAUUGGCAGACCGUAAGGGCACUUUAGAUGGGAACCUUGAAGCAGCUGAAGCUACUCCCAAAACUAUUAAGGUGAGCGCAGAUGGAAGUGGAGAGUUCAAGACUAUAACAGAUGCUGUUAAGAGCAUUCCAGCCAAAAACACACAACGCGUGAUUGUGGAUAUUGGACCUGGAACUUAUACCGAGAAAAUUACCGUUGAAAAAGAAAAGGGCUUUGUUUCAUUUAUCGGAGUACCUGAGAAGACAAUCAUAGAAUUUGCUGGCACUGCUCAUGAAUAUGGAACUGUGUAUAGCGCCACAUUACAAGUGGAGUCUGAUUUCUUCGUGGGAAGCGGUUAAGUUAUCAAGGACCAUUAACAACGCUUUAGAACUUCCGUUAUUUCUGCUUUUCAUUUCUGUCACGUUUUAACAAUUUAUGGACUUACUAUUGCAUUAGAAUACUGCACCUCCGCCUGAUGGAGUAAGACCUGGAGCCCAAGCAGUUGCUUUCAGAAUUGGUGGAAAUAUGGCAAGUUUUUACAAUUGCAGAUUUAUUGGAUUUCAAGAUACAAUAUGUGAUGACAAAGGGUUUCACUUUUUUAAAGACUGUUACAUUGAAGGCACCGUUGAUUUCAUCUUUGGGAGCGGAAAGUCUAUUUAUCUGGUAAUAAAACUUCCAUUAAAACUCAACAUAUAUUGGAUUUUGUUUAUAUGCACAUAGUAUCUUUAUUUCUUGAAUAUCACCAUCAAUAUAUAUUCCAUGCAGAAUACCCAGUUAGAGGUUAUACAAGAUAAGGACAUGACAGUGAUUGUUGCACAAGCAAGAGGAAAUGCUGAAGAGACUGGCUUUUCAUUUGUUCAUUGUAGCAUAACUGGAAAAGCAAAAGGAGCAUUCCUAGGCCGAGCAUGGAUGCCAGCUCCUAAGGCGAUAUUUGCAUAUAGUACCAUAAGUGAUGUUAUCUGUCCCGAAGGAUGGUCUAACAAUCAACAUCCUGAACGAGAGCCGUAAGAAAUUUUUAACUAAUAUUUGUAAACUCAAUGACUAAUAUAUAACACUCAUUUUGCAUAUUUCAAUAAUUUUCUGUGGGCUUUGCAGAGAGAUCUUCUUUGGAGAAUAUAAAAAUACAGGACCUGGCGCAGCUAUUGAGGGACGUGUUAAAUUUGCCAAGCAACUAACUGAAGCCGAAGUAAAACCUUUCAUUUCUCUCAGUUAUAUUGAAGGUUCUAAAUGGCUGCUUCCUCCUCCCAAAUUGUGAGGAGGUUAUUUGUUGCAAGAAAUAUAUAAAUUUGAGAGCAAUGAUGUUUAGGGUACACGAAGUCAUACUUGCCUGGGGUGAAUAAACUAGGUUAUUAUCAUAAACCUAAUGUAAUUUCUUUUCAGAAUAAUAAUUUUAUAAUUAUCAUAUCUUAUUAUUAUAAAUAUUUUUAUUUUUAGUUAUUUUAAUAGUUUUUCUUCCACAAUUGUCGAUGAAUGUAUGUUUCUCAUGGUUAUAUUUAUUUUCUCUUGAUAAAAAAGGAGAUUUGAUAUUUGUUAAAAGAAUGGUUAAAUACAAUUCAUUUAAAAUUUUUCACUUUAUUCAUUGACAAUGCUAUCCAUACAUUUUAUUUUUUUCAAUAUAUCCUAUCUCUCUAUUUUUUUACUUUAUUAUAUUAUUUUAAUAUUUAUAGUAAAAUUAAAAUUUAAUAAAUAUCUAAAAUUAAGAGAUGAAGCCAUAAAUUUUAUCCCAGCUCGUAUAUUUAAGUAUUUGUAUUAUUUAUUUAAUUUAUUUGUUAACUUAUGUAGUCAUAUUUAAAAAAAAUACAACUCAAAAAUAAAAUAUUCUAAACUAAUGUAGUAGACCAAUUAAUUUUUGUACAAAAUAAAAUAAUCACUAAAAAAAUUAAUUCUUUCCAACUUAUAUUGAUGCCUCCAAAUUAUAUAUUUUUUUCUUGUAUUUAAGUAUUACCUCAAGUCUCAUGUAAUUUUUUAAAAAGACCAAAUAUGGACAUGAGAUAAAAAUAGGACAAAUAAUUUCAAAAAUGGAAAUAUUAACAAAACAUGUUAAUCCAUAUAUAUUUCGAUGUGUUGAAAAUAAUUUAAAGGUUUAUAUAUAUCUUAUGGAAUAAUUUUAGUCCAUUUGGCCUUCAAUACUAAAGUAUUUUAUACUCAUUAAAAUUAUUAGAUACUGGUAUGAAUACAAACUGAAUAAAUGCAACUUAAAUAUGUGUAUUUUAAGUCAAUUUGUAUUUUAAGUCAACUUAAAUAGUAUCAUAGUUGUGGGUUUGCUUUCGCAAGAACCCACGUCUCUACACCAUCCACAAUAGUAAUUUUGAAUAGCUCCAUUAAAACACAUUCGUGAGAGAGAAGGAAAAAAAAUAUUUUAAUGAUAAGUUUCCUAUUACCAACUCUCAUGUUUAAGUUUUAUUUACACUUACACUAAUUCAACACGUUGCAAAAGCUUUUUUCAAUUUUUAAAAUAAAUACGUUUUUGCUUCCGCUGGAUUACUUUUGCUCAACCAAAUUUAUUAUGAUUGAUAUUAUAAAUUCAUAUACUAGAUUUGUUAAUUUUCUAAUACAUUGUUUUUCCUUGAACAUAAACAAUAAUUUCUAUUGUACCAAUUUAAGCAAAAUUACUCCCUCUAACUUAACAAUUGACGAUUGAUUUAUGAAGAGUUAUGGCAGAAUUGAAUUCGGAGAAAAGUGGUCGGAAAAAACAAUAAAUAUGUAUUAAUAGGACCAAAUUUUGAAGAGAUCCAUUCGUGAAAGGAGAGGAAAAAAAAAAAAUUUAAUAUCAAGUUUCCUGAUACCAAUUCUGAUGUUUGAGUUUUAUUUACACUUACACUAAUUCAAGAUAUAGCAAAAGGCUUUUUCGUUUUUUAAAAUAAAUACGCUUUUGCUUUCGCUAGAUUACUUUUGCUAAACCUAAUUUAUUAUGAUUGAUAUUACAAAUUUAUAUACUAGAUUUGUUAAUUUUCUAUUACACGGUUCUUCCCUGAACAUCAAAAAUAGUUUCCACUGUACAAAUUUAGGCAAAAUUACUCCCUCUAACUUAACAAUUGAAGAUUGAUUUAUGAAGAGUUAUGGCAGAAGUGAGUUUGGAGAAAGUGGUCGGAAAAAAUAAUAAAUAUGUAUUAGUAGGACCACAUUUUUAUAUCUAUAACUCAUUUUUUAAGUUAUUAAAAUAGUUAACACUGAAAAGUUUAGGUAAAAUAGUUAAGUUUUAAAUGUAUUUUACAUUGUUUUUUAGUAUGCAAAAAAAAUAUUACUUGUAUUUAUUUUGAAUUACAAAAUAACUAAAGAAAUAAAAAAUAAAAUUAACACAAGCCACAAAUUUCAAACAAGAUAAACGAGAAACACUCCCAUUAUUGCAAAAGAAAGCAAGAGAAUGCGAUAAACUUUCUAAAUCUCAAUUGUAUUCAGACUUCUUCCUCUUCAGUGUUAUAUAAAUUGCCACAUUCAUAACAAAAAAGAAACAUAUCAAGAAACUAAAAAUCUAUACAAGAUGAUUAAACACCUUAGUCUCCUCGCAUUCGUCGAAUAGGCAAUCAUCGCCAUUGUUUUUACAGACAUAAAUGUUAGCUCUGAUGAUGCAGCACCAAUGCCAGAGGCUGAAGCUGAAGUAAACGCUUGGUUUGAAGCUAAUGUCAAGCCAUUGGCAGAUCGUAAGGGCACUUUAAAUGCUGACCUUGAAGCAGCUGAAGCUACUCCCAAAACUAUUACGGUGAGAGCAGACGGAAGUGGAGAGUUCAAGACUAUAACAGAUGCUGUUAAGAGCAUUCCAGCCAAAAAUGCACAACGCGUGAUUGUGGAUAUUGGACCUGGAACCUAUACCGAGAAAAUUACCGUUGAAAAAGAUAAGCCCUUUGUUUCGUUUGUCGGAGUACCUGAGAAGACAAUCAUAGAAUUUGCUGGCACUGCUCAUGAAUAUGGAACUGUGUAUAGCGCAACAUUACAAGUUGAGUCUGAUUUCUUCGUGGGAAGCGGUUUAGUUAUCAAGGUCCAUUUACAAUGCUUUUGCUUUUCUUCCGUUAUUUAUGCUUUUCAUUUCUGUCACAUUUUAACAAUUUAUGGAUUUACUAUCGCAUUAGAAUACUGCACCUGCGCCUGAUGGAAAAAGACCUGGAGCCCAAGCAGUUGCUUUCAGAAUUGCUGGAAGUAUGUCAAGUUUUUACAAUUGCAGAUUUAUUGGAUUUCAAGAUACAAUAUGCGAUGACAAAGGAUUUCACUUUUUUAAAGACUGUUACGUUGAAGGCACCGUUGAUUUCAUUUUUGGGAGCGGAAAGUCUAUUUAUCUGGUAAUAAAACUUCCAUUAGAACUCAACAUAUAUUGGAUUUGUUUAUAUGCACAUGAUAUCUUUAUUUAUGAAUAUCAACAUCAACAUCAACAUAUAUUCUAUGCAGAAUACCCAGUUAGAGGUGCUGCAAGAUAAGGAAAUGACAGUGAUUGUUGCACAAGCAAGAGGAAACGCUGAAGAUACUGGCUUUUCAUUUGUUCAUUGUAGCGUAGCUGGGAAAGCAAAAGGAGCAUACCUAGGCCGAGCAUGGAUGCCAGCUCCUAAGGCGGUAUUUGCAUAUAGUACCAUAAGUGAGGUUAUCUGUCCCGAAGGAUGGUCUAAUAAUGAACAUCCUGAAAGAGAGCCGUAAGAAAUUUUUAACUAAUCUCUUUAAACUCAUAAAAUGACUUAUCUAUAAUACUCAUUUUGCAUAUUUCAAUAAGGUUCUGUGCACUUUGCAGAGAGAUCUUCUUUGGAGAAUUUAAGAAUUCAGGACCAGGCGCAGCUGCUGAUGGACGUGUUAAAUUUGCCAAGCAACUGACUGAAGCAGAAGUAAAACCUUUCAUUUCUCUUAGGAUGCCAGCUCCUAAGGCGAUAUUUGCAUAUAGUACCAUAAGCGAGGUUAUAUGUCCCGAAGGAUGGUCUAAUAAUGAACAUCCUGAAAGAGAGCCGUAAGAAAUUUUAGCUAAUCUCUUUAAUCUCAUAAAAUGACUUAUCUAUAAUACUCAUUUUGCAUAUUUCUAUAAGGUUCUGUGAAUUUUGCAGAGAGAUCUUCUUUGGAGAAUUUAAGAAUUCAGGACCAGGUGCAGCUCCUGAUGGACGUGCUAAAUUUGCCAAGCAAUUAACUGAAGCAGAAGUAAAACCUUUCAUUUCUCUUAUUUAUAUUGAAGGUUCUAAAUGGCUGCUUCCUCCUCCCAAAUUGUGAGGACUAUAUUUAUAGCAGGAAGUAUAUGAAUUUGAGCGCAAUGAUGUUUAGGCGUACAUGGCCAUCUACGCCGGAAGAAUCCCUUGUUAUUUUGGAAGGCCUAUCUUAUGGUUUUGGCAUCUUAGUUACCACUUGUAAAUAAGCCAGAUUAGAGUAAUAUAUCUGGUUCUGCAAUUUUCCCAACAAUGAUUUUGCAAUUAUCUCAUUUAUUAGUUUCAUGUAAUUUUUAGUCAUUUUAUAAUUAUUAGCCCAUAAAUACAUGUUUUCUCCCCCAUUGACUUCAAUUUUCCAUUUGAUACAAACCAUAAAUUUUCUUUCUAAAUACUGAUUAAUAAAUAGAAUAUUCAGAAUAAAGAGUGUCUGCGUGUAAUUAUGGAUAUACUAACUAAAUAAGGAAUGAAAACUAACUAAUUAGGAGCCAAUCAGGUGGUGGUCUGGUUGGUCUUCUCUCUUAUGUGAGGAGUGGGAGGCUGCCCUGUGUUGUAUAGUCCAUAGUAUUAUUUCGGUCUAUAAAAGUCUCUAAUGAAUUUAAAAAACUAACUAAUUAGGAAAAAAAAAAAGAUUUUUUAACUAAAAAGGAAAGAUAAAAUCUAACUACAUAAGAAAAUAUCAUUGCCUUAACUAAAUAGGGACAAAGAUACAUAAUAUAUAAGAACAAUAAAUAAAAUUUUAAAAUAAUAUCCUAAGAAAUAAACAAUAAUGCUAUAUAAGAAUUUCAUCCAAAUAAGUUGUGUUAACUGUUAGGUACACAUACACAUGAAAUUUGUAGCUUUGUAGUGUUGCACUCUAGCUAUGACAAUCUUGAUGCAAUAUAAAUUAAAUCUUUCAUAUUUUAUUCAUAGAAAUUUUUGAGGUCGGAUGGCAUUUAAAUAAUGGAAUGUAUACAUCUCAUGAAUUUGCUAGAUUCUUUCAAUUAAUAGAGAAAAAAAAUGAAGUAUGCUACAUGGAAUUAAUAGAUUUCGAGGUAUCCCCAAUUACAUUAAUUUAGAAGAGAGAAAAAUAUCAUCUCAAUGCUGGAAUUUUCUCAAUUCUAUCAUUAUUAAUCAUUUAAUUUUUUUUCCAAAAAUAUCUUUUAAAUUCAUGGAUUAUAUUUUUUCAUUUAAAUAAUGGAAUAUGAAAUUCCAUUGAUUUUACAAUUCAUAAAUUUUAUAUUUCGUGAAUUUGGUAAAUUUUAUGACCAAAUUUCAUCAAUUUAAAUUAUCUCCUUGAGACUAAAAAAGUGUGAAGUAAGACAGAUGUUAAAAGUUUUAACAAUGAUUGUACAUUUGUUUUUUUUUUUUUUUUUUUUUUCUUGAAAACAUUGUACAUUUGUUGUUAAUCUCUUGCAAGUUCCAUGUGAAUUGAAGAUUUUUUUUUUUUUUUUUAAAGUUUCCGAAUGCUAUAAAUAAUAGAAAUUCAUUGUUCAAGAUCAGUACUACAAAUUAGCACAUUCAUUAAAGUUUUAAGAACCAAACUUUAUGAAAUUCAAACAUGACUAUAUUAAAUUCUAGAAUAUAAAAACUAUGAAGACCUCCUCGACCGUAAGAUUCAGAAUCUGACAGAAUUAAAAAUAUAUUCAUGCAGAAGAUGACAAAAAAUGAAUUUUUUAGAAAUUAUUUCGGUAUUUUUUUUUAGUGUACUUUAAGAUCUGGUUAAAGCUCCACUGAUGAAAAUAAAAAUUUUUUAAAAAUUAUUUCUACUUUAUUUCUUUUUUCCUUUAGCUUUAAAGUCUGGAUUUUUUUCUUACAAAAUCAAGAUAUAGUUGAAGAAUAAUAAUUUCUUUGUCAGGUAAAAAGAAAAAAUUGCAACACAUAAUUUUGAUGUAUGCCACACGGCGGAUUUAUGUUCACGACAAAGUUUCUUUAUAUAUAUAGAAAUAAAAGCAGAGCAGUUUGCAAUAUAUAAAGCAAAGCAUAAGUCUAUGAAAUUAUCAAAUGUGAGGAGAAUAACAAUUAUUUAGGACAAUUAUAGUUGGACAAUAAUUAUUUAGGGUAGUUGUAAGAACAUGAGUUAUUUUAUAUUUUCCAAAAGGUUGGAUGAAUUAUUAAAAAUUAAAAUUAAAAUUAAAAUUAAAUAAAAAAUUAAAAAGAGAUACAGUAGGGACCAACAACCACUGUAAUAUAUACUUACAACUUUUUAUUUUUAUUUUUUAUUUUUCAUUUUUCCCACUCAAUUACGCAUCAUGAUUAAAGUUAGGGUUUCGAAACACAGAUUGCGGAAGAUCAGUAAGCAUUUAUCAGGAUUCUGUUAUUCAUGAUUUAUUUUAUAUGGCUGUUUGGCUCUAAAGAAAACCCUGUAAAAAAACCAUAUCAGUUUCCUUUUGUUUGCGGCAAUUAUAAAGUCUAAGUUUUUCUGUUAGCUUUUAUAUGUUUGUUGUGUGUUCAUAAUGAAUGUGAGAUUCUUUUUUGUUAUCUAAUUUGACAUAACGCACUCAAACAGGAAUUAGUUUGCUUUUUAUUUAAAUGUCCUUUUCUUGGUUUAAUAUUAUUUAGAUAUUGGAAGUCCAAGCAAACUCCAGUAUAACUCCAAGCUUGAAAUCCCUUCAUGAAACCCACAUCAAGUUCUUUUUAAUCUAUUCCAAAAAUCUGUCCAUGAGUAGUUAUCCAGUGCUCAAUUUGCACUUGAAACAACAAAGAUUUUUUUUUUUUUUUUUCCACUCCCCAAGUACCUGUUUAUAAAGCCUAAUUCUCCAAAUAAAUAUCUUUCACUUCUAGCUUUCAUAUCAACCCAAAACCAGGUUUCUACAGGUGAAGAAGACAUUCAGUUUACUUAAAAUAUACAUGUGAUGAUGUGUUGCAGUUUUUGGUUUUGCAUACUAAAGACUCUUUUCAUUAAGCUGCUUCUCCUCUAGGAUGUCAAAUUGGCCAUUCCCAUCUAAUAUGGACGUUCAAACGUAAUAUAAUCUAAAUGACUCUUCUUCAUAUUUAGAAAGGGCAGCUUUUAUUCCUGUAAACCGAGGCAUAAAUUAUUAGUUUCACUAACUGGACUGCGUUAGAGUUUAGGCAGUUUUUGCUCUAUACACUCUCAUGUGUUUGCGUUAGAGUUUUUAUUUGCAUCAAUAUUUUUUCCUAAUGGUUCAUCUUUGAUUUCAGGGAGAUCGUAUCCAUGCACUGAUUAGUAAAAAUAUUAUUCGUUUAUUCAAAUCAAAGAUACACGAGUUUAGAUUAUAUUUCAUGAAGAACUUUAUAAUUGCACCAAAUAAUUAUAUAGAAAAUCGUUUCACAUAUAUUUUCUAUGAGUUGCUACUAUUGAUUUUAUAGGAAAAUAACCGAGUUUGGCUCAUUGUGGUUAAUGCCGUACUUUUUUUCCUAAGUAUUAUUAUUUGAUGCAGUUUAUACCAUGCAUGAUUUUUGUUAUGCAUACCCUAGUAAAAGGCUUCACAUGAUACUUAAGAAUCUCUCAAUAAAAUAAAAUUUUGUAAUGCAUUUCAAUGAGAUACUUUAUUAUACAAUUUUAUUAUUUUUCAAUGCUGUUAUAAAAGAUAAUUUCAUCAUUCAAUAUUGCUUCGUGCAUCACGCAAGUUCUUACAUGAAUAAUAUAUAAAAGUAAUGUAGUUUGCCUUAUAUGGUGUAAGUAGCACAAUUUGCCAUUUGACAUUAUUUUGAAUUAUAGAGUGACAGAUGUUAGAAUUUUAAUACAAUCUGCCACUUGGCGGUGUUUUGAAUUAUAAAAUGACAAAUAUUAGAAUUCUAACACAAAUUAGCAUAAUUGUAAGAAUUGUAAGAAUUGUAAGGAGAUCAGUUAUUUUAUAUUUUCAGAUGAUUCCUUUAUCAACAUAAUAUCUAUAAAAAAAAUUAUCUUUAGCAUUCAAUAUAUUAAUAUAAAUUUAUUUCUUUUUACAAAAUAAUUAAUAAGUAAUCCACACACAUAAAAAAAUUGUGAAUAAACAAUAUAUUACUAUUAAAUAAACAAUAUAUAAACAAUUUAAAAAAUAUAAAUUGUAAUGUACUGAAUACGAUAAUUUUUUUUUAAAAAAAUAUGACAUUCACACGCUUAGAACACAUACAUUCAAUAAGUAAUAUAUUAAUAUUUCAAAUAAAUAAAUAGUCACUUAUAAUAAAUUAUAAAUAAAUUUAAAAAGUUAAUUUCUUAUUUCAAUCAUACAAUUCUAAUUUUGAAGAGCUCCAUUCGUGAAAUGAGAGGAAAAAAAUAUUUAAUAUCAAGUUUCCCAAUACCAAUUCUGAUGUUUGAGUUUUAUUUACACUUACACUAUUUCAAGAUAUAGCAAAAGCCUUUUUCGAUUUUUAAAAUAAAUACGCUUUUGCUUUCGCUAGAUUACUUUUGCUAAACCAAAUUUAUUAUGAUUGAUAUUAUAAAUUUAUAAAUUAGAUAUGUCAAUUUUCUAUUACACAGUUCUUCCUUGAACAUCAAAAAUAGUUUACACUGUAUCAAUUUAGACAAAAUUACUCCCUCUUACUCAACAAUUGACAAUUGAUUUAUGAAGAGUUAUGGCAGAAUUGCGUUUGGAGAAAGUGAUCGGAAAAAAACAAUAAAUAUGUAUUAGUAGGUCCAAAUUUUUACAAUCAUAACUCAUUUUUUAAGUUAUUAAAACAGCAGCACCGAACAGUUUAGGUAAAAUAGUAAAGUUUUAAAUGCAUUUUACAUUUUUUUUUUUUUGUGCAAAAAAAAAAAAAAAUCUUGUAUUUAUUUUGAAUUACAAAAUAAAUAAAUAAAAAAAAAAUAGAAGUGACACAAGCCACAAAUUUCAAACAAGAUACACGAGAAUCACUCCCAUUACUGCAGAAGAAAGCAAGAGAAUGCGAUAAACUUUCUAAAUCUCAAUUGUAUUAAGACUUCUUCCUCUUCAGUGUUAUAUAAAUUGCGAAUUCAUAAUAAAAAAGAAGCAAGAAACAUAUCAAGAAACUAAAAAUCUAUACAAGCUGAUUAAACGCCUUAGUCUCCUCGCAUUCGUCGUAUAUGCCAUCAUCGCCAUUGUUUUUACAGCAAUAACUGUUAGCUCUGAUGAUGCAGCACCAAUACCAGAGGCUGAAGCUGAAGUAAACGCUUGGUUUGAAGCAAAUGUCAAGCCACUGGCAGACCGUAAGGGCACUUUAAAUGCUGACCUUGAAGCGGCUGAAGCUACUCCCAAAACUAUUAAGGUGAGAGCAGACGGAAGUGGAGAGUUCAAGACUAUAACAGAUGCUGUUAAGAGCAUUCCAGCCAAAAAUGCACAACGCGUGAUUGUGGAUAGUGGACCUGGAACCUAUACCGAGAAAAUUACCGUUGAAAAAGAUAAGCCCUUUGUUUCGUUUGUCGGAGUACCUGAGAAGACAAUCAUAGAAUUUGCUGGCACUGCUCAUGAAUUUGGAACUGUGUAUAGCGCAACAUUACAAGUGGAGUCUGAUUUCUUUGUGGGAAGCGGUUUAGUUAUCAAG